This 468-nucleotide ribosomal RNA is filed under the name uncultured bacterium. RNAcentral's name for it is "partial 16S ribosomal RNA". It matches the Rfam family "Bacterial small subunit ribosomal RNA", at positions 28 to 507 of the family's 1533-position model. The record is from RNAcentral.
GACGAACGCCGGCGGCGUGCUUAACACAUGCAAGUCGAACGGAAAGGCCCUGCUUUUGUGGGGUGCUCGAGUGGCGAACGGGUGAGUAACAAGUGAGUAACCUGCCCUUGACUUUGGGAUAACUUCAGGAAACUGGGGCUAAUACCGGAUAGGAGCUCCUGCUGCAUGGGGGGGGUUGGAAAGUUUCGGCGGUUGGGGAUGGACUCGCGGCUUAUCAGCUUGUUGGUGGGGUAGUGGCUUACCAAGGCUUUGACGGGUAGCCGGCCUGAGAGGGUGACCGGCCACAUUGGGACUGAGAUACGGCCCAGACUCCUACGGGAGGCAGCAGUGGGGAAUAUUGCACAAUGGGCGGAAGCCUGAUGCAGCAACGCCGCGUGCGGGAUGACGGCCUUCGGGUUGUAAACCGCUUUCGCCUGUGACGAAGCGUGAGUGACGGUAAUGGGUAAAGAAGCACCGGCUAACUACGUG